GCCUAGCUGGCUCAGUCAGUAGAGCACAUGAUUCUUAAUCACAGAGUCAUGGUUAAGCCCCAUGUUAGGUG
This 71-nucleotide transfer RNA is filed under the name Mustela putorius furo (domestic ferret). It matches the Rfam family "tRNA". Rfam says of the family: Transfer RNA (tRNA) molecules are approximately 80 nucleotides in length. Their secondary structure includes four short double-helical elements and three loops (D, anti-codon, and T loops). Lineage: Eukaryota; Metazoa; Chordata; Mammalia; Carnivora; Mustelidae. The record is from Rfam by way of RNAcentral.